RNAcentral lists this non-coding RNA (25 nucleotides) under Cricetulus griseus (Chinese hamster). The record is from RNAcentral. Lineage: Eukaryota; Metazoa; Chordata; Mammalia; Rodentia; Cricetidae.
UAUGGGGAAGUGGAAUUUUUACACG